RNAcentral lists this ribosomal RNA (559 nucleotides) under uncultured bacterium. RNAcentral describes it as "partial 16S ribosomal RNA". It matches the Rfam family "Bacterial small subunit ribosomal RNA", at positions 355 to 907 of the family's 1533-position model. The record is from RNAcentral.
UGGGGAAUUUUGGACAAUGGGGGAAACCCUGAUCCAGCCAUCCCGCGUGUGCGAUGAAGGCCUUCGGGUUGUAAAGCACUUUUGGCAGGAAAGAAACGUCGUGGGUUAAUACCCCGCGAAACUGACGGUACCUGCAGAAUAAGCACCGGCUAACUACGUGCCAGCAGCCGCGGUAAUACGUAGGGUGCAAGCGUUAAUCGGAAUUACUGGGCGUAAAGCGUGCGCAGGCGGUUCGGAAAGAAAGAUGUGAAAUCCCAGAGCUUAACUUUGGAACUGCAUUUUUAACUACCGGGCUAGAGUGUGUCAGAGGGAGGUGGAAUUCCGCGUGUAGCAGUGAAAUGCGUAGAUAUGCGGAGGAACACCGAUGGCGAAGGCAGCCUCCUGGGAUAACACUGACGCUCAUACACGAAAGCGUGGGGAGCAAACAGGAUUAGAUACCCUGGUAGUCCACGCCCUAAACGAUGUCAACUAGCUGUUGGGGUCUUCGGACCUUGGUAGCGCAGCUAACGCGUGAAGUUGACCGCCUGGGGAGUACGGUCGCAAGAUUAAAACUCAAAGG